Molecule: long non-coding RNA, 211 nt
Filed under: Carica papaya (papaya)
Lineage: Eukaryota; Viridiplantae; Streptophyta; Magnoliopsida; Brassicales; Caricaceae
Description: long non-coding RNA (CPAP_LNC011002)
Source: RNAcentral
UAACAAAAUACAUAAUACCCAUAAGUUAACGAAGUACAACAGGUUAUGACUCGAGUACAUAAUUAGACCUCCUAUUGAUCUGGUUCCAUCCUCGGAUCCUCUUGAUAUUGAAAAUAUGAUAAUAUGAAUUGAACGAGUGAUUUUCAACGUACUUAGUAAGUAUACAUAAUAGUAAUGCCCUAAGCAUGCCCACACCAACACACAAUCAAGA